This is a long non-coding RNA of Lepidothrix coronata (blue-crowned manakin), 564 nucleotides long. RefSeq lists it as uncharacterized. The transcript has 6 exons. NCBI's taxonomy places the organism in Eukaryota, Metazoa, Chordata, Aves, Passeriformes, Pipridae. The record is from RefSeq and is a predicted model, not a curated record.
UGCUCAGGGAUUUUAGCUGGAGUUGACAAGUUACUUUUUACUGUCUCUAUCUCAUUUCAAGACCUCUCUUGAGGUAGACCAGCUUUGAAGCCUCUUUAUUUUCUCAAGAAUCCUGCAUGUAACUUCCACUGAAGUUCUCGGGAUUUGGCCUUUCAGUCUUCAGAAAAAAUAAAUCAUAGGUAUGUUGCAGAAGUGUAAUCCCACUUGAUAGGUAUGCAAGACCUAAGCACGGUCCUGAUUUCUCCCGAAACUAUACCUCUGUCUUCAAGCAUUGCCAUGAAUUUUGGAUUGUCAGCUGAAAACUCAAACAGAAAACCAGCAGUUGCAGCUUUCAAAAGUUGGAGAGACUAGAGCUUUCAUUUCACAAAUAGUCAAUGUAAGCAGUCCAGAGGCAAUAUUUCAUUGAAGGAAGAACCAGAUGAAAAAAAGAAAAUAAGAAAUCAGGAAGGAAUCCAUUCCAUCCCAAAAGCAAGGGGUUUUUGUCCUCUUUAACUUUAGUGAAGACAGCAUCAUUACAUUGGAACAUGCAACACACACCUCUUUCUGGAGGACUCCCAGCUAGAU